GGCCGUCUAGCUCAGUUGGUUAGAGCGUCGUGCUAAUAUAUGGUGUGCCAUAAAUGUUACGCGAAGGUCUUGGGUUCGACCCCCACGAUGGCCA
Mycena epipterygia is the source of this 94-nucleotide non-coding RNA. The record is from the annotation of a GenBank genome assembly. Lineage: Eukaryota; Fungi; Basidiomycota; Agaricomycetes; Agaricales; Mycenaceae.